GAGGAAAGUCUGGGCUCUGAUUAGGAAGAUAUUGCUGUAUUAAACAACAGUGUAGGUGACUAUGAGGAUAGUGCCACAGAAAUAAACCGCUUAUAUAUACUUAAGUAAGGGUGCAAAGGUAUGGUAAAAGCAUACCAGGAAUAUAUUUAUCGUAUUUGCUAGGUAAACCCCGUAAUAGAGCAAAGUAAUCAGUUUUUCAAUAAGAUUUUCUAUAUUUAUUAUAUUGAAAAGAUAUGCGUAUUUUGUUAAUACUGAUUAGUGAAAACUGCAAGAAGUAAUAUAAGAAUAUCACUAAUAUACUAAAGAUUAAUAAUUACCCUUAUUAUAAGAUUUGUAUUUAUAUAAAUCUUAUAAUUAAGAACAAAACCCGGCUUAU
RNAcentral lists this RNase P RNA (376 nucleotides) under Antithamnionella ternifolia. RNAcentral describes it as "ribonuclease P RNA". The stretch from base 2 to 180 matches the Rfam family "Bacterial RNase P class A", at positions 44 to 222 of the family's 367-position model. The record is from RNAcentral. Lineage: Eukaryota; Rhodophyta; Florideophyceae; Ceramiales; Ceramiaceae.